RNAcentral lists this ribosomal RNA (566 nucleotides) under Wenyingozyma neixiangensis. Its description in RNAcentral is "eukaryotic LSU rRNA". It matches the Rfam family "Eukaryotic large subunit ribosomal RNA", at positions 62 to 648 of the family's 3401-position model. The record is from RNAcentral. Lineage: Eukaryota; Fungi; Ascomycota; Pichiomycetes; Pichiales; Pichiaceae.
AAACCAACAGGGAUUGCCUUAGUAGCGGCGAGUGAAGCGGCAAGAGCUCAAAUUUGAAAUCUGGUAUCUUCGAUGCCCGAGUUGUAAUUUGAAGAAAACAAUCUUGGAAUUGGUCCUUGUCUAUGUUCCUUGGAACAGGACGUCACAGAGGGUGAGAAUCCCGUGCGAUGAGGAACUCUUUUCUUUAUAAGAUGUUUUCGAAGAGUCGAGUUGUUUGGGAAUGCAGCUCAAAGUGGGUGGUAAAUUCCAUCUAAAGCUAAAUAUUGGCGAGAGACCGAUAGCGAACAAGUACUGUGAAGGAAAGAUGAAAAGAACUUUGAAAAGAGAGUGAAAAAGUACGUGAAAUUGUUGAAAGGGAAGGGUAUUCGAUCAGACUGGUAUUUAGUUAUCAUUGCUCCUUGUGGGUGGUGCUCUAGCUUUUUACUGGGCCAACAUCAGUUUUGGUGGUAAGAUAAUCGCAGUUGAAUGUAGCUCCCUCGGGAGUAUUAUAGCUUCUGUUGAUGUUACCUAUCGGGACUGAGGUCUGCGGCUUUGCCUAGGAUGUUGGCGUAAUGAUCCAAUACCGC